This 499-nucleotide ribosomal RNA is filed under the name uncultured bacterium. RNAcentral describes it as "partial 16S ribosomal RNA". It matches the Rfam family "Bacterial small subunit ribosomal RNA", at positions 899 to 1397 of the family's 1533-position model. The record is from RNAcentral.
ACUCAAAGGAAUUGACGGGGGCCCGCACAAGCGGCGGAGCAUGUGGAUUAAUUCGAUGCAACGCGAAGAACCUUACCUGGGUUUGACAUGCACAGGACGUGCCUAGAGAUAGGUAUUCCCUUGUGGCCUGUGUGCAGGUGGUGCAUGGCUGUCGUCAGCUCGUGUCGUGAGAUGUUGGGUUAAGUCCCGCAACGAGCGCAACCCUUGUCUCAUGUUGCCAGCACGUCAUGGUGGGGACUCGUGAGAGACUGCCGGGGUCAACUCGGAGGAAGGUGGGGAUGACGUCAAGUCAUCAUGCCCCUUAUGUCCAGGGCUUCACACAUGCUACAAUGGCCGGUACAAAGGGCUGCGAUGCCGUGAGGUGGAGCGAAUCCUUUCAAAGCCGGUCUCAGUUCGGAUCGGGGUCGAGUUGCAGACCCCGUGAAGUCGGAGUCGCUAGUAAUCGCAGAUCAGCAACGCUGCGGUGAAUACGUUCCCGGGCCUUGUACACACCGCCCGU